Molecule: long non-coding RNA, 2353 nt
Organism: Odontomachus brunneus
Lineage: Eukaryota; Metazoa; Arthropoda; Insecta; Hymenoptera; Formicidae
Exons: 2
Source: RefSeq, a predicted model, not a curated record
UAUGUCCGAUGUAGGUCCAUUGAUUGCAACUGUCGAGUGAUAACUCUUGGUAGUAUCCUUCAUAUAUCUAAACUUAGCGAAUCUAUAUCUAAACAUCGAUGAUCGAUCGUCUAUUUUUUCAUAUUUUUUACAAUGACACUUAAUCUUUCUCUCUCUCUUCCUCCCUCCCUCCUCUUCCUCUUAUUCCCUUCCUCUCUCCUUCUCUCUCUCUCUCUUUCUCUCUCUGCCUCUCUCUUUUUCUCUCGUACGGAUAAUAGCAAGAAAUAGAAUAGCAAAUUCGCCAAUUAGAAAAUUCGAUUAGAAUUGUCUCUCUUUAAUAUCGAAAUCUGUUAAGUACCAUGGACGGUUUUAACCCGGAAAACUUCAUGUACGCAUUCUCAUUAGGUCAAUACACAAUUCAUAAGAAAGAUAGCUAGCAUUAUCAAAGCGAACAACAUACGUAUGUAUACAUGCGAGUGUACUCGUGAGUGAGAUCGACUUUCUUGACUUUACACACUUUCAUCCGAUUGAACCAGACCAGGAUAAUGGGCGAUCUGACGGAAGUGUCCGUGUCAAGAUUUAUUUUCACCUUGCUGUGACCGGUAAGGAACAUGCAAGAAACUGCGCGUCGUUAUUACACGCCGCUGCCGGGGAAGCAAAGGGAUGAAGAGCGUUUGAAUUCGUGCUUCGUGAAUUCGAGCGAGAUCUCUCUACGACGGAAUUCUCAGUUACUCGGUGGCGAUAGAAUAUUCGCAUCACAGGACGCAAUGUCCGCUCUCACCCGUGUAAAUGUAGCGUUAUUUUUUCAUCCUAUCUAAAAGAUGGGAAAAGAUCGCAGCAUGUGUCUUUUCGGUAUAUUUUGGAACAGACGAAAGUCGUGAGAAAAGCUUUCCUCUGAAACUCAUAAAAUUGUAACUCGCCUUAAUCGUUCCACUGACGGUUAUACAUGUAAAUCGGAACGUAUAAAAAUUGAGAUGCGUGUGCGAAGAUCACGAGCAGAAUUAUAUCAGAAUUACGGGAUAACUAACAUAUAAUUUAGUACUGGAUAUCCGAUUUUAAUGCUUAAGCAGCUUCAUCGAAAAUUUUGCCUUUUUGUACAAGUUUGAUUACGCUGUGUAUACUAGUAUAUUUGUUAAAUGUUAAAACAAUGGCAUGUUUUUGUAGUUAAUUACAAUGACAGCGUCACGGAAACAUAUGUGAUGUUGUAGCAAUACUGAUAACGGAGUACUGAUAACAGUACUGAUAAUGUUCUCUUGCUAAAAUAUUGACAAAAGUUCACAAACAACAACGACGAGUAUUUAGUUAUGGAAUAAUCUGUUUUCAUUAAAUGUAAUAAAAAGUCAAAUUUUGUGAGUUGAUAAAAAAAUCUCAAAAAUCAUUCAGAAAUCAAGCUCAACUUUUUAACCGACCUGAUAUAAACGAUUGACAAGAAUUUCUUCUGUAAAGCUUCAGAUUUCUGAAUGUCGCGAUUGAAAACAUGAGCAUUUUGAAAUCCGUUUUUAUUCUUUUUCUCUCUUGUCGCUUGUCUUUUUUUUACAAUAGAAUCGACUGAUAUUAUUUAUAGAUACGACGCGCAAAUCGAUUAUUACAUCUGGUCAAAUAUCUUAGGUAAACACGUACAGUUGCGAAUAAUAAGGUUGACUGACUCCAGCUUCACGCGAUUCAGUUUCUGAGUAUGUCCUAACUGAAAGUGAGAUAAGAGAGGAAGUGAAAUGUGUGAAGUUGAAACCAGUUAACCUUAUUGUCCGUAACUGUACAUACAUAAUUACUAUCACAUAUCUAACGAUUACAAAAGAACUGCAAAAGUAUCGUUCAUUCAAAGUGAUAAAAAUACUAUUGGCUAAUUAAGUGCUACAACACAUUACUUCGAUAAGUUUCGUGACGCACUCCGUACGUCAGUACGAGAAUGUUUCUCAGUAAUUCUUAAGAGAUAUAUUUUCCUGUUGUAUAUGAAACAUGUUGCAAUAUUUAAUGAGAAAUGUGUUGUAACCUUUAAUUAGCCAAGUGUACUUUACGGUCUAGAAAGAACGCGGCGAAUGUAGAUCAGUGAUCGCGUGGAAAGGAGAAAACGUUAACAGACAACGACUAACCUUCGCGCAGGAAACUAAAACAUAUGGACCCAAAAACCGCUAGCAAAAAAGAUGUACGAUGUAAUUGUGCAACUAGCUCGGAAUGACGCAAAAUAUCGGCAUGGAAGAUAUUACAAGAGGCAAAAACAAGAAAUGCGAAUUAUAAUCAGAAACAUAUGUAUUUCGUUACAUGUGUAUUUCGUAUCAUAUAACUGAUUAUGUUUAACAGUACAUGUUUCUCAAGAUGUUCUUAAUUGCAACAUGUACGUGAAAACGAAAUGUCAGAAAUAUGUUUCACAAACAUC